RNAcentral lists this ribosomal RNA (265 nucleotides) under uncultured bacterium. RNAcentral's name for it is "partial 16S ribosomal RNA". It matches the Rfam family "Bacterial small subunit ribosomal RNA", at positions 335 to 617 of the family's 1533-position model. The record is from RNAcentral.
GGUCCUACGGGACGCAGCAGUGGGGAAUAUUGGACAAUGGGGGAAACCCUGAUCCAGCGACGCCGCGUGAGUGAAGAAGUAUUUCGGUACGUAAAGCUCUAUCAGCAGGAAAGAAAAUGACAGUACCUGACCAAGAAGCCCCGGCUAACUACGUGCCAGCAGCCGCGGUAAUAUGUAGGGGGCAAGCGUUAUCCGGAUUUACUGGGUGUAAAGGGAGCGCAGGCGGCGUGGCAAGUCAGAUGUGAAAACCCGGGGCCCAACCCCG